UGGAGGAAAGUAGGGGAUCGAAAGACCUUAUGCUUUUGGAGCGGCCGAUGUCUGAUUAGCUAGUUGGUAAGGUAAUGGCUUACCAAGGCAACGAUCAGUAGUUGGUCUGAGAGGACGACCAGCCACACUGGGACUGAGACACGGCCCAGACUCCUACGGGAGGCAGCAGUGGGGAAUUUUGGACAAUGGGCGCAAGCCUGAUCCAGCAAUGCCGCGUGAGUGAAGAAGGCCUUCGGGUUGUAAAGCUCUUUCAGUUGAGAAGAAAAGAUUGUGACUAAUAAUUGCAAUUCAUGACGGUAUCAACAGAAGAAGCACCGGCUAACUACGUGCCAGCAGCCGCGGUAAUACGUAGGGUGCGAGCGUUAAUCGGAAUUACUGGGCGUAAAGGGUGCGCAGGCGGUUCUGUAAGUCAGAUGUGAAAUCCCCGGGCUUAACCUGGGAACUGCGUUUGAAACUACAAAGCUAG
RNAcentral lists this ribosomal RNA (466 nucleotides) under uncultured bacterium. RNAcentral's name for it is "bacterial SSU rRNA". It matches the Rfam family "Bacterial small subunit ribosomal RNA", at positions 197 to 644 of the family's 1533-position model. The record is from RNAcentral.